UCAGUUCACAGUCACUCAACACACAGCCCUCUUUACACAGUUCAGCUGAGGAGACGCAAACAGAGUCGUCUCUAAUGAUUCUGGCAGCGGUGUCUGUCAAAAGGCAGCUCAUCAUUAUCAAAUGAUCAAACAUCAAGCAAUCCCAACUGUGAAAAUGCCAGUUUGCGGUCUUUAAUGGAUUUCCUGUUUGAGAAAGGCCAUCAAAUGUUUGCCAGAGGGGAAGAGAGGAAGUCGCUAUGAUGACACAAAAUGGCUUUCAAAAAGCAGAAUUUUUCAUCAAUCAAUUUCAGUGACCCCAUCAAUAACAGCCCACCCUGAAGUGGGUGUUCUCAGAUUUAGUUGGACUUGAACUGUGAGAUCUUAACCAGGACUGACCGAAUCAUCCGCUCCAUUAUCCUGGAGGCUGUUAAAGAAGUGAGAACGUUCAUCCUCGUCAUCCAUGUAGACGGGCGGCUCGUAUGAGGUGAGGAACGUCGAGGGCCUGUACAGGUGUUUAUUGAGGUGGU
Molecule: long non-coding RNA, 506 nt
Organism: Labeo rohita (rohu)
Lineage: Eukaryota; Metazoa; Chordata; Actinopteri; Cypriniformes; Cyprinidae
Exons: 2
Source: RefSeq, a predicted model, not a curated record